CGGCGGCAGCGGCGGCGGCGGUAAGAUGGCUGCCCACGGGGGCUCCGCGGCGUCCUCGGCGCUGAAGGGGUUAAUUCAGCAGUUCACCGCCAUCACCGGUGCAAGUGAAAGUGUAGGGAAACAUAUGCUUGAAGCCUGCAACAAUAAUCUGGAGAUGGCAGUCACUAUGUUUUUGGAUGGUGGAGGAAUCGCUGAAGAGCCAAGUACCAGUUCAGCAAGUGUCUCCACUGUCAGACCACACACAGAAGAGGAAGUCCGUGCCCCAAUUCCUCAAAAGCAGGAAAUAUUGGUGGAACCAGAACCUUUGUUUGGUGCUCCUAAAAGACGACGGCCUGCACGUUCAAUAUUUGAUGGUUUCCGGGAUUUCCAAACUGAAACUAUUCGGCAAGAACAGGAAUUAAGAAAUGGAGGCGCAAUAGAUAAGAAACUAACUACCCUUGCAGAUCUCUUCCGGCCACCCAUUGAUUUGAUGCAUAAAGGCAGCUUUGAAACAGCCAAAGAGUGUGGCCAGAUGCAGAAUAAGUGGCUGAUGAUAAACAUUCAGAAUGUACAAGACUUUGCAUGCCAGUGCCUCAACCGUGACGUAUGGAGCAAUGAAGCUGUGAAGAAUAUUAUCCGAGAACAUUUCAUUUUCUGGCAGGUUUAUCAUGACAGUGAGGAAGGUCAGAGAUACAUACAGUUUUAUAAGCUAGGGGAUUUCCCCUAUGUUUCCAUCUUGGAUCCACGGACAGGUCAGAAGCUAGUAGAGUGGCACCAGUUAGACGUAUCUUCUUUCUUGGAUCAAGUAACAGGAUUUCUGGGUGAACACGGGCAACUGGAUGGACUUUCUAGCAGUCCCCCCAAAAAAUGUGCCCGUUCAGAGAGUCUUAUAGAUGCAAGUGAAGACAGCCAGCUAGAAGCUGCCAUCAGAGCCUCCUUGCAAGAGACACAUUUUGAUUCCACACAGACAAAACAGGAUAGCCGCUCAGAUGAAGAAUCUGAAUCUGAACUUUUUUCUGGCAGUGAGGAGUUCAUAUCCGUUUGUGGCUCUGAUGAGGAGGAGGAGAUAGAGAAUCUUGCCAAGUCUAGGAAGUCUCCCCACAAAGAUUUGGGGCAUAGAAAAGAGGAAAACAGAAGGUCACUGACUGAGCCCCCUGCCAGAACUGAGCCUGGAACAGCCACAAAUCACCAAGGAUUGCCAGCGAUGGAUUCAGAAAUAUUGGAGAUGUCACCUGAAAAAUCAGAUGGAAUAGUGGAGGGCAUUGAUGUAAAUGGACCAAAAGCACAGCUGAUGUUGCGGUAUCCAGAUGGAAAAAGGGAACAAAUCACUCUUCCAGAGCAAGCUAAACUACUAGCUUUGGUGAAGCAUGUCCAAUCUAAAGGAUAUCCAAAUGAACGUUUUGAACUUCUCACCAACUUCCCUCGAAGGAAACUCUCUCAUCUGGACUAUGAUAUUACAUUACAGGAGGCAGGCCUUUGUCCUCAAGAGACUGUCUUUGUACAGGAAAGAAAUUAACAUCAUGGCCUGACCUCUCUCAGCUUACCCCUUUUUUUCCCUUUUUCUGUGAGAUACCAUGUCACUGAGUAUGUAUUUUGGCUCAUAGGACCAUAGAGCCAAAGUUGGGCAAGCAAGUCACCUGCCUUCUCUUUUAUUUCUUGUUCUCUCCUAUAAUCAGUCUCACAUACCCCACCCCACCCCUCUUUUUCUCUCUUCUCCCAUUUUCUUCUCUUUCCUACUUUUCUCUCUUUCUUACCUAAUCUGGUGACCAAAUGGAAGUGUUAGGAUAAGACCUCCUAGUACUGGCAGCAGGAAAUGUAUGUUCCAAUAAGUGGUCUCUUACACAGCACUUUUUUGGGAUCAAAUGAUAAUGUUACUCCUCAGAUUCCUUUGGUAAAGGAAUGGCUAGAUUCAGAAUAAGAGCAGCCUCCUUUUUUUGUAAGCCCCAUGUUUAGUAGGGAGAAGAAAUUCUCUAACACAUGUUUUGUUUUAUUAUUCAUGUAGGAAAUAUCGUGUAACAGUGUCCAGGGUUUUGUUUACAUGGAAAAAAGCGUCCUUUAUAAUUAUUGCUCAUCAUAUUUAAAAUUUUUUUCAAAGGAUUCCCAUCUUCCCAGCUAGAAUUGUUUCCAUGAUAUGUGUUAUUGACAGAAAGAAUGUUAAACUAGGAUAAGGAAGAAAAUUGAAGUGCAGAGAACUUGUUCAGGAUGUCACAGCUAGUAAGUAAGUGGCAAAAUCAAAAUUGGCAUUCAUGCUUUUUUCACUCCCAUGCUGUAGUCUCCUGCAAUAGGAAUCAAUUUGCUCAAAAGGUUAUCUUCGCGUUGUUUGGCUCUGUAAGUUAUCAUUUGAUUUUUUUCCUUAAAGCUUGUGAGAUUUGUGCUAUGCCUAUAAAUUCUUAUUUACACUGUUAUUUUGAGGGGCAGGUUACUGAUUGCUUUUUUAAAAUGAUGCAGUGAUGAAAAUGUAAGAGGAAAAUAACUAUGGCAUUAUUUGCCAAGAAAAAAUGGAAAGGAUAAAAAAGAAUUUUAUCAAAUUUUUAACCAUUUCUCAGAAAAGAUACAAUUAUCUUUUCUAUAUCCCAUCUGUAUUAGAUUAUUGAAACUUCUAUGUGUAUAUUUUAAAAUCUCCUAUAAAAUUCUACUUCCUUGAUUCUAUAAGUUAACAAUUAUUUGAGUCCUUAAUCAAAGUUGGAAAAAUCUUGAAAUCCAAGAUCUGGUUCCUGCCUGUUUUAUCCAGUUGGAGAGACACACUACACUUGAGAUAAUAGGAGAAUAUGUAAAUGCUUACCUUUCUGAGACUGAACCAUAAUUACAAUAGAAGUUUAGAAAGGGUAAAGAAUAGUGUAGGCUUUAGUUAGGAAAAUAAAACUGGAAAGUGGCAAACACUGUGGCUCAGAUUUUCUUUUGACUUACCUGUAUUCUUUAGUUCCACCUUUUGUAACUACUAGAUUUAGGGCAUGAUGUUUUAACAGUAAGGCAUAACUAGUACCCAAGUAGGAAAGAAUUAUUGAUUCCAGGAUUAAAGAUUUUAGCUAGCAGGGAUCUCACUUGGAUACUUAGGAAAAUACCAGAGGGAGCCACUUGCUACUGAAAAGUGAAGGAAAGAUUUAAUUUCUAUACCCAGGUACAAAUUAAAUGUAUAGUACAAUAUAUUAUAUAUGAUAUGCAGAAAGGGCACUAUAUGUAGGCAAUAAGUGUACUUGGGUAACAGCUCUGCUUCUAAUUAACAGAGAAUUGGACUAGAUCAAUAGUUCUUAGUCUGUUCAAGUAAAAGGGCUUGUAAUUUUAAAAUUCAGCAGUGGUGGGGAGUUGUGGGGUUAAGUAUAAAUAUCAUUAAUUCCAUAAGUGGAGAAAAUGUAAAUGUGCAUAUGGAAUUGCAGACCUUUUGCAGAAACUCUUGGAACCUACAGAUUGUAGACCACUGAAUUAGAUUAUCUCUGAAUCUUUUCCACUCCAAAAUUUAAUGCUUUUAGUCUCUUACCUUUAUUUUAUAUAUUAUCCCUAGAGUAAUUAAAAGUAUACUUGUUAAUCAGUUCUUGCUUUUUUUUUCCUGUGUCCAGGUUUCAUUUGCCCAGUAACUUGAUCUGCCCUACUGUGAUGACUGUAAUCUUCAGAAAGGAGAGUAUAAUAGUUACAGAUCUAGUAAUGAUCUUUUAAACACAAUUCAUUACUUUUAAAACUUAAUGCUGUGUUCCUAAUCAGUGUUGAGUAUGACUAAAAUGUAAUGAGAACCAAAUAUUUCACUGACACCGGAGUUAAAUUUUAUUUUGUAUGUGUGCUUAAACAAAGCACUUUACUGGCUGAGUAAUUGUUAGGAAAUUGAUUUGUGUAAGCUGUAGAAGUCACACUUGGUUUUGACAGAAACAAGUGUUUCAAGAUCCAAUUAGGCCGACUUUUUAAAAUAUUUCUUAUCCCAUAGAGUGUAUCUCCAUGGUGUCAUUCUCUCUCUGGCCCUCUUUCAUUUGGAGCCAGAGAGAGAGAGUAAAUAGUAUUCAGUAGUACUACUCAAUAGUAAAUCAUGGGAUGGGGGUUGAUGAAUAAGUAAAGUCUUGUGUAAAACUAAAUGAGAGUAAGAAGAACCCACCCUUCUGGUGAACAUGGCAGUUUUCCAAUAGGACCACUUAAAGACAGCUGUGUACUAUGAAUAUUCAACUUCAUUGAUUUGCCUUGCUUAACAUUUUAGUUACUGCCUCACCGUGCAGUUUAGUAUUGCACUGUACACAUUUUAGAAUGGUGGUAAGAAUGUUCUUUAGUACUGAAAAUAACCAACAGAGAACACCAAGCCUGACAUUGAUUUCUCCUGACAUGUAGAAAUUUGGUAUUUCAGUGAUGGCUAUUUUGGUCUUUGAUUCACCUAUGUAUCAAUCCUGCUAGAGAGACAGCUUAGAAUCUAGCUUUUUUCAGUAGAGAUUAUGAUGACCUUGGUAGUUUUCCCAUGAAGUGAUCUCGUGGUUAAAUUAUUGGAUGUAAUGAGACCCUUAAAUUAGAAAAUCUUUUAAUAUAAUUUUAUUUUUCCAUUCUCUUCUUGAUUUUUGACAUCUGUUCUCAGAAAAUGUCUUGAUUUUUAAUGAAAAUUGGCUGUGUUUAAGAAAUUCCAUUUCUAAAUUUUAAUAUGUAACAUUUUUCAUUUUUCAUAAAUUAAUAUACAAGGAAAGAAUUUGAGGCAAACAUCAUUUUUAUAACUCAUUUUCUCUCUACCUAAGAAUCCUUAUUCCAAAUAUAGAAUAGCUAGCUCCAUGAUACCCCUCCGCCCUUUUUUGGCCUAUGGAAUGCAGUUGUAUUGCUUAGAAUCUCAGUCAUUCUCAUAAACAUGAUAGUGUUUGGUACAGGCCUUGCUUUGACAUAUGAUCUCAAAGUAGAGUUGAGCAAUCUAAUAUGAACUACUUUAAUAAAACAUAAUUUAGCAUUUCUGUAUUUUCAAAAGAUAACCAGAUUUACGUGUAGGAUUAGAGAUACAAAUACCGAUGGUAGUAUUUUCCUAAGAACAAUCAAAUAUUAAUCUAUAAAUAUGGAAAGCUGCCUUGUUGUACUUAAUUCUCUUGCAACAAACAGCAAAUUUUUGUUGUUUGCCUAAUAGUAUUUCCUCUACAGAGAUCAAAAUGCCCUAAGAUUUUAUAUCCCUUAUAAGGUCACUUGGGUUUACAAAUUGGAGGAAUAAGCUGGACUUAACAUAAGAAAAAUUUUACCUCCAUUAAAAGAAGUUGUUAAUCUAACUGGGCCACCAUGAAUCACUCAUUUAUUAGACAUGGUAAAUAAAAUGGGAAACAUUUCAAAUAAUUAGAUAAAUUCUGACCUGGAAUUGAAUUCUCCCUUCCUUAAAAUCUUUUCUAUUUGCUUUUUUCAUAGACUCAAUAUGGGCAUCUUAUCUGAUAAGGGAGAAAUUCUUGAUAUGGAGCCAUUCCCUGCCAUUGUGCUUUUUUUCCCCUCUGUCAAGGUCACUGACUUUAAGUACAUGUCACCAGGAUAUAUUUCAAGUUAAUGGCAUUGGAAUGUUGAUGCUCAGUUGGAUAUCUUUCUGUUUUCAACAAAAUGGCUUUAUAGUAUGCUUUUCUCAAAGCUUCUGUGUUCUUAAUAAUGGAAAAUAUCAAUAAAUGGUGUGAAUCAAAAUAUAAAUAGGUUUUUGACACUGAUAAUCAGAUGCUCUUAACAGUAGUUUUUUGAUAAUUCAUUGCCCUGUAAGUUAAACCUCAUGUGGAGUGACCAUUGCCACCAGAAAAUCCCCUCUUACAUGCUAAUUAGAAUGAAAGGAGUAUGUGACCUCCACUUUUCAGUUAAUGAGUAGGAAGUUUGUAGGGGCUGUUUAUCUUACCUGUUGGGGGACUUGGGCCUUGUUACUUUCCUAGGUUUGUCACUUCGGUUUGGAAAGGGUAUUUAAAACUUGCUGGGAAACAGACAGUAAAGCUAUGAGAUAAUCCUCUAGUCUUAAAUGUAGAGAAAUGAGUACCAGUUGAUGCUAACACAAUACUUGGACUUUGAGGGGCUUCCAGCCAAGCUUUGGCAUGAAUUUUAGACACAAUUUUAUUCACUCUUAAGAAUCUUUCUUUCUAGAAUGGUUUUCCCUUUGAUUGUUAACAACUUCUAAGCAUCUGGUGUCUUUUUUUUUUUUAACCCUUUAAGAAACAAAGUAGGUAUUGAUUGUUCCAUGGAAACACUCAGGAGUGUUGUAGGCUUCUGUGCAUGCUUUGUAUGAAUUUAGUUUGAACAAUGCGUUCUGAAUCAUCUGGGAUGUCCAAUUCUGGCAUGUCUUCACUAACUGUGUUUUUUAAACAUUUUCCAUGUCAUUUUCCAAACCUCACUUCCCAUCUUAUUCAGAGAAGUUUAACCAAGGAAUGAAAUUUGGGGAUAGGGAUGGGGGUGGGUUGGGGGCUUGAGUGAAGUCAACUUAGGGUAUUUGCUUUAGUGUUCUCAAGCAGUUUCUCACAGUGUUUAGAAAUUCCCUGGGAUGUUUGUGUACUCACCUUAUUCUGGAUAAAGUGGUGGUCUUAGUGAGAUUUGCAUUCUUAAUGCAGGACAGGCUCUAAAUUUAAUCUGUAGUGUAACUUUGUUAUUGAAUCCAAGAAGAUAAUGGACAGAGACAGUGCUUCUAUUGUAAUGUUUCUGGCAAGUGUUCCCUAAAAUGCACAUAUGUAUAGUUCUCAGUUUUCUGGGCUUUAAUCCCGUGGUGCUAGGAGAUAUCAUUUAUUUCUGCAGUUCUUCUCAAGAGUGGGAAGAAGGCUUUGGGACAUGUGAGAAAGGGGCAACUGGAUCAUCCACUAAAUUUUUUUGUUCAAGACACACUAGAGACCCUCCUGUAUUUCUAGUAAGUGAUAAUAAAGGUGCUAGGGAAAGCCUUAAAUCUGAAGACAUAUGGAGGCCGUAGAAAAUCUAAACUUGUAGGAGGAGAAAAACAAGCCGUUAGAUAAAGCAGAGCUGUAACUGCUGGCUAAGACUCAAUGGAACUUCCACUUGCUCUAAAACCAGGGAAAUCUUAGAUAACUGGGUGUGAUAUAUCUAUAGAUACACAUAGUCUAUAGGUAAAUAAUUUCUAAAAUGAGGAUCUUUCUCUCAGUUGGUGAUCCUCUGGUUUUGGCUGUACCAAAUUGUGAAUAUUCUUGCUGUGUUGUACCCAGUUGCUUUAUAUUGAUAUUGCAACUUGAAUUGGGGAGGGGGGCGGUGGGACAUUUGGGGUUGGGGAGGGA
This is a non-coding RNA of Delphinapterus leucas (beluga whale), 7151 nucleotides long. Lineage: Eukaryota; Metazoa; Chordata; Mammalia; Artiodactyla; Monodontidae. The record is from RefSeq and is a predicted model, not a curated record.